Molecule: non-coding RNA, 103 nt
Organism: Xylariaceae sp. FL0255
Lineage: Eukaryota; Fungi; Ascomycota; Sordariomycetes; Xylariales; Xylariaceae
Source: the annotation of a GenBank genome assembly
GGCCCGAUAGUACAGAGGUAGUAUACACGCUUCGGGAAUAUUCGAUCCUUCCAUGUCAAAUGGGAAAAUGUGUGUGACCCGGGUUCAAAUCCCGGUUGGGCCC